GAUGAAGAACGUAGCGAAAUGCGAUAAGUAAUGCGAAUUGCAGAAUUCAGUGAAUCAUCGAAUCUUUGAACGCACAUUGCGCCCAUUAGCAUUCUAGUGGGCAUGCCUGUUCGAGCGUCAUUUCAACCCUUAAGCCCUGUUGCUUAGCGUUGGGAGCCUACAGUACUGUAGCUCCCCAAAGUUAGUGGCGGAGUCGGUUUCACACUCUAGACGUAGUAAUUUUUUCUCGUCUGUAGUUGAGCCGGUCCCCUGCCGUAAAACACCCAAUUUAUCAAGGUUGACCUCGGAUCAGGUAGGAAUACCCGCUGAACUUAAGCAUAUCAAUAAGCGGAGGA
Molecule: unclassified non-coding RNA, 335 nt
Filed under: soil metagenome
Description: partial contains 5.8S ribosomal RNA, internal transcribed spacer 2, and large subunit ribosomal RNA
Rfam family: 5.8S ribosomal RNA (bases 1-120)
Source: RNAcentral